Molecule: ribosomal RNA, 869 nt
Filed under: uncultured Bacteroidota bacterium
Lineage: Bacteria; Pseudomonadati; Bacteroidota
Description: bacterial SSU rRNA
Rfam family: Bacterial small subunit ribosomal RNA
Source: RNAcentral
AGAGAUCAUGGCUCAGGAUGAACGCUAGCGGCAGGCUUAAUACAUGCAAGUCGAGGGGCAGCACGGGUAGCAAUACCUGGUGGCGACCGGCAAACGGGUGCGGAACGCGUACAGAACCUUCCUUUAAGUGGGGCAUAGCCCGGAGAAAUCCGGAUUAAUACCCCGUAAUAUUAUGGUGUGGCAUCACACUUUAAUUAAAGAUUUAUCGCUUAGAGAUGGCUGUGCGGCUGAUUAGGUAGUUGGUGUGGGUAACGGCCCACCAAGCCAACGAUCAGUAACUGGUGUGAGAGCACGACCAGUCACACGGGCACUGAGACACGGGCCCGACUCCUACGGGAGGCAGCAGUAAGGAAUAUUGGUCAAUGGAGGCAACUCUGAGCCAGCCAUGCCGCGUGAAGGAUGAAGGCCCUCUGGGUUGUAAACUUCUUUUAUCUGGGACGAAACACUUAUAUUCUUAUAAGCUUGACGGUACCAGAGGAAUAAGCACCGGCUAACUCCGUGCCAGCAGCCGCGGUAAUACGGAGGGUGCAAGCGUUAUCCGGAUUCACUGGGUUUAAAGGGUGCGUAGGUGGGUUUGUAAGUCAGUGGUGAAAUCUCCGUGCUUAACAUGGAAACUGCCAUUGAUACUAUAGAUCUUGAAUUUUCUGGAGGAUAGCGGAAUAUGUCAUGUAGCGGUGAAAUGCUUAGAUAUGACAUAGAACACCAAUUGCGAAGGCAGCUAUCUACAGGGAUAUUGACACUGAGGCACGAAAGCGUGGGGAUCAAACAGGAUUAGAUACCCUGGUAGUCCACGCCCUAAACGAUGGAUACUCGACAUUUGUGAUACACAAUAAGUGUCUGAGCGAAAGCAUUAAGUAUCCCACCUGGGA